Long non-coding RNA from Erpetoichthys calabaricus (reedfish), 1792 nucleotides. RefSeq lists it as uncharacterized. NCBI's taxonomy places the organism in Eukaryota, Metazoa, Chordata, Cladistia, Polypteriformes, Polypteridae. The record is from RefSeq and is a predicted model, not a curated record. The transcript is spliced from 2 exons.
ACAUACGAGAUAGGGACUGUAGGUUUGUACUUAAGUUGAAUUUGUAUGUAAGUCGGAACAGGUACAUUAUUUUAAUAAAUACUAUUGUUGACCGACUGUAACCAAGUGCUCUGCCAAUGAAUGAUGGAGUGUCACCUCUCUCUGACCUUUUUAUUAUUUCGACUUUACUUUCAAUGGUGAUGGUUUUUCUCUUCUUUACUGUAUCACCAGCACUUGCAUCAGAUUUGUGUUUCAGAGACAUUCUUGAAGGGUUAAGAUGAGCUGUUCUGCACAGCACUGUCCACGCUAUCACAGCAGGAAGGCACCAGUCGUCAACACGUCUGAUGUACUGACAAGAGACAACUUCCUGCUAUGUGUGUAACAGUACAAGCAGGCUUGCUAUUAAGAAUGACUGGGGGUGGCAAGGGGGGGGUUCAUCACCAGCCCACCUCACAGUCCCCUCCACUACAGUAUGCUGCCUGCAGUGUCCGCUCACCGAGAACGAACACGGUUCGGCCAAAGGCGGGUAGUGAAUCGCCCAACCCCAAUUCAACAGGCAGCCAUCCGAGGCACACUACAAUGCUACCCCUGCAGCCCCGUUCAGCCACAACCGGGUCACCGCUUGCAGCAUUACCAGCCGUGUGUGCUGGGCAGGUAGUGAAAAGCCCCCCCUCCGCUCCUUCCAGUCAGGAGCAGUAGCUGCGGUGGCGUAGUGGGUGGGCAGAGAACCAUCGUCCUGCACACAAGCAAUAGCUGUGGCCCCGGUGACUAUGGACCACGGGUCACCGCUUGCUGCCGGAAGCCACCCGAGGAACACUACACUGCGCGAGCAGCGAAAUCGCCCCCCCCCUCCAGCCACCGCUUGCAGCAUCCCCAAGCUGAAGAUGAUGGAGUGGCAGUUACUGAGGUGCAUGCGUCGCAGCUGCGUCCUCAUUCGUAAGUCGCAGGUCGGAUGUCCGUAACCUGGGAACUACCUGUAUAGAUAGCGCUUUUCUCACUACUCAAAGAUUAAUAAAGCAACCGAUUAUAGCGUCCACCACACUCCCAUUAUACAAAGUGAAAGGCAGAAGAAAACAAGCAGGUCUGAAGCCGAUUUUUAAAAACUUCGAUUAGAGGAUGAAGGCUUGAUGUGGAAAGGCAGGUCAUUCCAACUGAGAAAGCUGUCUCCCCUUGACUUGAGCCGAGAUCUUGGAGCUACAAGGAGUCGUCGUCCAGAUGAUAUCAAUGGCCUCGGUGCCACUGUUAUAACGUGUUUUUUAUUAAGUUUAAUGUCACUGUUCUCUGUGCCCACUGUUAUGGAUUCAUUCAUACAGGCAGACCAAAUAUGGUACACAGGCACAGUAUCAGCAUUUAGAAUUGCCGAGCCAAGCACAGGACUAGAGAGACACAGACAACUGAAGGAUUGGAUGGUCAGCCUAAAGACAGACUAAUAUAUUUCUGUCUUCUGUCAGCAUAUUUCCUUGUUGGGAGAAUGGGAACUGUAUGUGGGCAUUGUGCUGUUUCUGAAUGUUUGAAGGUGGGGUUUGAGUACUUUCCUGUCCUUAUUUAGAUACGGAGCCAGGAGUCUGCACGUGGAGGACCAGUAUAAGAAUGGACACCUACGGCCAACACUUUGAAGCUUCCGGGCGGAAGAGUAUGUCUUCCGUCCGAGGCCGGGCAGAAGAUUAUGUCUUCUGUCCGGCUAAAACCCUUUCAGCGUGGCGACGACAGAUGACGGACUGCACAGAUCAAGUCUCCCGCAUUCUUGAUAUGUCUGUCAUAAGCUUCCUGCUUGUAAUACCACGUGAAACCGUCAGUAAAGAGCUAAAUUAUC